Molecule: long non-coding RNA, 8828 nt
Filed under: Xyrichtys novacula (pearly razorfish)
Lineage: Eukaryota; Metazoa; Chordata; Actinopteri; Labriformes; Labridae
Source: RNAcentral
UGUUGUGUUUGAACUUGAGGUUGUGGUAUUUUUGAAUUGAGUUUGUGGCGGUUUUUGAACUUGAGUUUGUGGCGUGUUUGAACUUGAGAUUGUGGCGUGUUUGAACUUGAGUUUGUGGUGGUUUUUGAACUUGAGGUUGUGAAAAUUGUUAAAACUUGAGAAUUAGGUGUUGGUUGAACUUGAGUUUGUGGGGUUUUUUUAGCUUGAGUUUGUGGUUUUUGUUGAACUUGAGUUUGUGUCGUUUUUGAGCUUGAGGUUGUGGUGUUUUUAAACUUGAGUUUGCGUGUUUGUUUAACUUGAGUUUGUGUGUUUUUUUAACUUGAGUUUGUUGUUUCUGAAGUUGAGGUUUUGGCAAUUGUUGAACUUGAGUCUGUUGUUUUUAGUGAACUUUAGUUGGUGGCAAUUGUUGAACUUGAGUUUGUGGCAUUUGUUAAACUUGAGUUUGUGACGUGUUUAAACAUGAUUUUGUGGUGUUUUUGAACUCGAGUUUGUGGUAUUGGUUGAACUUGAGGUUGUGGAAAUUGUUAAACUUGAGAAUUGGGUAUUGGUUGAACUUUAGUUUGUGUGUUUGUUGAACUUGAGUUUGUGUCGUGUUUGAACUUCAGUUUGUGGUGUUUUUGAACUCGAGUUUUUGUGUUUAUUGAACUUCAGUUUGUGUCGUGUUUGAACUUGAGUUUGUGGUGUUUUUUGAACUUGAGGUUGUGUGUUUUUUUGAACUUGAGUUUGUGGCGGUUUUUGAACUUGAGGUUGUGGCAAUUGUUGAACUUGAGUUUGUGACGUGUUUGAACUUGAUUUUGUGGUGUUUUUGAACUUGAGUUUGUGGUGUUUUUGAACUUGAGUUCGUGGUGUUUGUGGAAUUUGAGUUUGUGUCCUGUUUGAACUUGAGGUUGUGGUGUUUUUCAACUCGAGUUUUUGUGUUUGUUGAACUUCAGUUUGUGUCGUGUUUGAACUUGAGUUUGUGGUGUUUUUUGAACUUGAGUUUGUGGUGUUUUUUGAACUUGAGGUUGUGGUGUUUUUGAACUUGAGUUUGAGGCGGUGUUUGAACUUGAGGUUGUUGCAAUUGUUAAACUUGAGAUUCGGGUGUUGGUUGAACUUAAAACUUUGCCAUUUGUUGAACUUGAGUUUGUGGUGUAUGUUGAACUCCAGCUUGUGUUGUGUUUGAACCUGAGUUUGUGGCGGUUUUUGAACUUGAGUUUGUGGCGUGUUUGAACUUGAGAUUGUGGCGUGUUUGAACUUGAGUUUGUGGUGGUUUUUGAACUUGAGGUUGUGAAAAUUGUUAAAACUUGAGAAUCAGGUGUUGGUUGAACUUGAGUUUGUGGUUUUUGUUGAACUUGAGUUUGUGGUUUUUGUUGAACUUGAGUUUGUGUCGUGUUUGAACUUGAGGUUGUGGUGUUUUUGAACUUGAGGUUUCUUGUUUGUUUAACUUGAGUUUGUGUGUUUUUUGAACUUGAGUUUGUUGUUUCUGAACUUGAGGUUUUGGCAAUUGUUGAACUUGAGUCUGGUUUUUAGUGAAAUUUAGUUGGUUGCAAUUGUUGAACAUGAGUUUAUGGCGUUUGUUGAACUUCAGUUUGUGACGUGGAUGAACUUGAGUUUGUGUUAUUUUUGAACUUGAGGUUGUGGCAAUUUCUAAAAUUGAGAAUUGGGUGUUGGUUGAACUUAAAAGUUUGACAUUUGUUGAACUUGAGUUUGUGUGUUUGUUGAACUUGAGUUUGUGUCGUGUUUGAACUUGAGGUUGUGGUUUUUUUGAACUCGAGUUUUUGUGUUUGUUGAACUUCAGUUUGUGGAAAUUUUUAAACUUGAGGAUUGGGUGGUGGUUGAACUUGAGUUUGUGGUGUUUUUUGAACUUGAGGUUGUGGUGUUUUUGACUUGAGUUCGUGGCGUGUUUGAACUUGAGGUUGUCGCAAUUGUUAAACUUGAGAUUUGGGUGUUGGUUGAACUUAAAACUUUGCCAUUUGUUGAACUUGAGUUUGUGGUGUAUGUUGAACUCCAGCUUGUGUUGUGUUUGAACUUGAGGUCGUGGUAUUUUUGAAUUGAGUUUGUGGAGGUUUUUGAACUUGAGUUUGUGGCGUGUUUGAACUUUAGAUUGUGGCGUGUUUGAACUUGAGUUUGUGGUGGUUUUUGAACUUGAGGUUGUGAAAAUUGUUAAAACUUGAGAAUCAGGUGUUGGUUGAACUUGAGUUUGUGGUUUUUGUUGAACUUGAUUUUGUGCUUUGAUUGAACUUUAGUUUAUGUUUUUUUUGUACUUGAGUUUGUGUUGUUUUUGAACUUGAGGUUGUGGAAAUUGUAAAAACUUGAGAAUCAGGUGUUGGUUGACUUGAGUUUGUGGUUUUUGUUGAACUUGAGUUUGUGUGUUUUUUUAACUUGAGUUUGUUGUUUCUGAACUUGAGGUUUUGGCAAUUGUUGAACUUGAUAAUUGGGUAUUGGUUGAACUUGAGUUUGUGUGUUUGUUGAACUUGAGUUUGUGUCGUGUUUGAACUUCAGUUUGUGGUGUUUUUUGAACUUGAGGUUGUGGUGUUUUUGAACUUGAGUUUUUGGUGUUUUUGAACUUGAGGUUGUGGCAAUUGUUGAACUUCAGUUUGUGACGUGUUUGAACUUGAUUUUGUGGUGUUUUUGAACUCGACUUUGUUUUGUUUUUGAACUUGAGUUCGUGGUGUUUGUUGAACUUGAGUUUGUGUCGUGUUUGAACUUGAGGUUGUGGUGUUUUUGAACUCGAGUUUUUGUGUUUGUUGAACUUCAGUUUGUGUCGUGUUUGAACUUGAGUUUGUGGUGUUUUUUGAACUUGAGGUUGUGGUGUUUUUGAACUUGAGUUUGUGGCGGUUUUUGAACUUGAGGUUGUUGCAAUUGUUGAACUUGAAAUAAAAACCCAAAUAUGAACCCAAAUAUAUAUUUUUUCUUUUUACAUUUUUUUGGUGUAACCAACUCCAAAAGGUCUUAAACAUGUUCCUAAAAAGGUUUUGGACAGUGAUUUUAACCCUAACACCAAAAACCUUAAACCUUACCCUAGCCCCAAAACCUAAUACCCGGGUAUUACCUUCAGGAAGCCCGAACACCCCAAAUAUUUUUUUUUCUUUUUUUUUUUUUUCUAACUAACUCCCAAAGGUCUGAAACAUGUUCCUUAAAAAAUAUUGGACAGUUAUUUUGACCCUAACGCCAAAAACCUUAAACCUAACCCUGGCCCCAAAACCACCCGGGUAUUACCUUCAGGAAGCCCGAACACCCCAAAUAUUUUUUUUUCAUUUAUCUUUUUUUUUUUUGUCUAACUUUAUCCCAAAGGUUGGAAAAGAAUUCCUACAAUGGUUUUGGACAGUGAUUUUUACCCUCACGCCCAAAAACCUUAAACCUUACCCUAGCCCCAUAACCUAAUACCCGGGUAUUACCUUCAGGAAGCCCGAAGACCCCAAAUAUAUAUUUUUAUUUUCAUUUUUUUUUUCGUCUAACUAACUCCAAAAGGUCUGAAACAUGUUCCUUAAAAAAUAUUGGAGAGUGAUUUUAACCCUUACGCCAAAAACCUUAAACCUAAUCCUAGCCCCAUAACCAAAUACUUAAACCUGAAGGGUAUUACCUUCAGGAAGCCCGAACACCCCAAAUAUUUUUUUUGUCAUUUUACAUUUUUUUUUUGGUGUAACCAACUCCAAAAGGUCUUAAACAUGUUCCUUAAAAGGGUUUGGACAGUGAUUUUAACCCUAACGCCAAAAACCUUAAACCUUACCCUAGCCCCAAAACCUAAUACCUUCAGGAAGCCCGAAAACCCCAAAUAUUUUUUUUCUUUUUUCUUUUUUUUUUGGUCUAACUAACUCCAAAAGGUCUGAAACAUGUUCCUUAAAAAAUAUUGGACAGUGAUUUUAACCCUAACGCAAAAAACCUUAAACCUAAUCCUAGCCCCAAAACCUAAUACCCGGGUAUUACCUUCAGGAAGCCCGAACACCCCAAAUAUUUUUUUUUCAUUUAGCUUUUUUUUUUUGUCUAACUUAAUCCCAAAGGUUGGAAAAGAGUUCCUACAAAGGUUUUGGACAGUGAUUUUUACCCUCACGCCCAAAAACCUUAAACCUUACCCUAGCCCCAUAACCUAAUACCCGGGUAUUACCUUCAGGAAGCCCGAACACCCCAAAUAUAUAUAUAUAUUUUCUUUUUUUUUUGUCUAACUAACUCCAAAAGGUCUGAAACAUGUUCCUUAAAAAAUAUUGGACAGUGAUUUUAACCCUGACGCCAAAAACCUUAAACCUAAUCCUAGCCCCAUAACCUAAUACUUAAACCUGAAGGGUAUUACCUUCAGGAAGCCCGAACACCCCAAAUAUUUUUUUUGUCAUUUUACAUUUUUUUUGGUGUAACCAACUCCAAAAGGUCUGAAUCUCUUUCCUUAAACGGUUUUGGACAGUGAUUUUAACCCUAACGCCAAAAACCUUAAACCUUACCCUAGCCCCAAAACCUAAUACCUUCAGGAAGCCCGAAAACCCCAAAUAUUUUUUUCCUUUUUCUUUUUUUUGGUCUAACUAACUCCAAAAGGUCUGAAACAUGUUCCUUAAAAAAUAUUGGACAGUGAUUUUAACCCUCACGCCAAAAACCUUAAACCUAAUCCUAGCCCCAAAACCUAAUACCCGGGUAUUACCUUCAGGAAGCCCGAACACCCCAAAUAUUUAUUUUUCAUUUUUUUAUUGGUCUAACUAACUCCAAAAGGUUGGAAAAGACUUCCUACAAAGGUUUUGGACAGUGAUUUUAACCCUCACGCCAAAAACCUUAAACCUUACCCUAGCCCCAUAACCUAGGGUAAAGCCCCUUUACCUAAUACCCGGGUAUUACCUUCAGGAAGCCCGAACACCCCAAAUACUUUUUUUUCAUUUAUCUUUUUUUUUGUCUAACUAACUCCAAAAGGUUGGAAAAGACUUCCUACAAAAGACUAACUCCAAAAGGUUGGAAAAGACUUCCUACAAAGGUAAUACAAAGUAUUACCUUCAGGAAGCCCGAACACCCCAAAUAUAUAUAUAUUUUUUUCUUUUUUUUUUGGUCAAACUAGCUCCAAAAAGUCUGAAACAUGUUCCUUAAAAAUAUUGGACAGUGAUUUUAACCCUAACGCCAAAAACAUUAAACCUAAUCCUAGCCCCAUAACCUAAUAAUUAAACCUGAAGGGUAUUACCUUCAGGAAGCCCGAACACCCCAAAUAUUUUUUUUUCAUUUAUCUUUUUUUUUUUUUGUCUAACUAACUCCAAAAGGUCUGAAAAGAGUUCCUACAAAGGUUUUGGACGGUGAUUUUAACCCUUAAACCUUACCCUAGCCCCAUAACCUAAUACCCGGGUAUUACCUUCAGAAGCCCAAAAACCCCCCAAAUUUUUUUUUUAUUUUUCGUUAGUUUUUGCUCUAACUAACUCCAACCUUACCUUCAGGAAGCCCGAACACCCCCAAAAAUUUUUUUUUCAUAUUACAUUUUUUUUGGUGUAACCAACUCCAAAAGGUCUGAAACAUGUUCCUAAAAAGGUUUUGGACAGUGAUUUUAACCCUUACGCCAAAAACCUUAAACCUUACCCUAGCCCCAUAACCUAAUACCCGGGUAUUACCUUCAGGAAGCCCGAACACCCCAAAUAUUUUUUUUUCAUUUAUCUUUCUUUUUUUUGUCUACCUAACUCCAAAAGUUUGGAAAAGACUUCCUACAAAGGUUUUGGACAGUGAUUUUAACCCUAACACCAAAAACCUUAAACCUUACCCUAGCCCCAAAACCUAAUACCUGGGUAUUACCUUCAGGAAGCUUGAACACCCCAAAUAUUUUUUUUUCAUUUUACAUUUUUUUUGGUGUUACCAACUCCAAAAGGUCUUAAACAUGUUCCUAAAAAGGUUUUGGACAGUGAUUUUAAACCUAACGCCAAAAACCUUAAACCUUACCCUAGCCCCAUAACCUAAUACCUGGGUAUUUCCUUCAGGAAGCCCGAAGACCCCAAAUAUAUUUUUUCAUUUUUUUUUUUUUUUUGGUCUAACUAACUCCAAAAGGUCUGAAAAGAGUUCCUACAAAGGUUUUGGACGGUGAUUUUAACCCUUAAACCUUACCCUAGCCCCAUAACCUAAUACCCGGGUAUUACCUUCAGAAGCCCAAAAACCCCAAAUAUAUAUUUUUUAUUUUCCGUUAGUUUUUGCUCUAACUAACUCCAAAAGGUUGGAAAAGACUUCCUACAAAGGUUUUGGACAGUGAUUUUAACCCUAACGCCAAAAACCUUAAACCUUACUAUAGCCCCAUAACCUAAUACCCGGGUAUUACCUUCAGGAAGCUUGAACACCCCAAAUAUUUUUUUUUCAUUUUACAUUUUUUUUGGUGUAACCUACUCCAAAAGGUCUGAAACAUGUUCCUAAAAAGGUUUUGGACAUUGAUUUUAACCCUAACGCCAAAAACCUUAAACCUAAUCCAAGCCCCAUAAACUAAUACCUGGGUAUUUCCUUCAGGAAGCCCGAAGACCCCAAAUAUAUUUUUUUCUUUUUUCUUUUUUUUUGGUCUAACUAACUCCAAAAGGUUGGAAAAGAGUUCCUACAAAGGUUUUGGACAGUGAUUUUAACCCUAACACCAAAAACAUUAAACCUUACCCUAGCCCCAAAACCUAAUACCCAGGUAUUACCUUCUGGAAGCCCGAACACCCCAAAUAUUUUUUUUUUCAUUUUACAUUUUUUUUUGGUGUAACCAACUCCAAAAGGUCUUAAACAUGUUCCUAAAAAGGUUUUGGACACUGAUUUUAACUCUAACGCCAAAAACCUUAAACCUUACCCUAGCCCCAUAACCUAAUACCUGGGUAUUACCUUCAGGAAACCCGAACACCCCAAAUAUUUUUUUUUUCUUUUUCUUUUUUUUUUGUCUAACUAACUCCCAAAGGUCUGAAACAUGUUCCUUAAAAAAUAUUGGACAGUUAUUUUAACCCUAACGCCAAAAACCUUAAACCUAACCCUAGCCCCAAAACCUAAUACCCGGGUAUUACCUUCAGGAAGCCCGAACACCCCAAAUAUAUAUUUUUUAUUUUUCUUUAUUUUUGGUCUUACUUGCUCUCAAAGGUUGGAAAAGAGUUCCUACAAAGGUUUUGGACAUUGAUUUUAACCCUAACGCCAAAAACCUUAAACAUUACCCUAGCCCAGAAACCUAGUAUUACCUUCAGGAAGCCCGAACACCCAAAAAAAUUUUUUUUUCAUUUUACAUUUUUUUUGGUGUAACCAACUCCAAAAGGUCUGAAACAUGUUCCUAAAAAGGUUUUGGACAGUGAUUUUAACCCUUACGCCAAAAACCUUAAACCUUACCCUAGCCCCAUAACCUAAUACCCGGGUAUUACCUUCAGGAAGCCCGAACACCCCAAAUAUUUUUUUUUCAUUUAUCUUUUUUUUUUUGUCUAACUAACUCCAAAAGGUUGGAAAAGACUUCCUACAAAGGUUUUUGACAGUGAUUUUAAGCCUCACGCCAAAAACCUUAAACCUUAACCUAGCCCCAUAACCUAAUACCCGGCUAUUACCUUCAGGAAGCCCGAACGACCCAAAUAUAUAUUUUUUCUUUUUCUUUUUUUUUUUGGUCAAACUAGCUCCAAAAGGUCUGAAACAUGUUCCUUAAAAAAUAUUGGACAGUGAUUUUAACCCUUACGCCAAAAACCUUAAACCUAAUCCAAGCCCCAUAACCUAAUACUUAAACCUGAAGGGUAUUACCUUCAGGAAGCCCGAACAACCUAAAUAUUUUUUUUUUCAUUUUACAUUUUUUUUUGGUGUAACCAACUCCAAAAGGUCUGAAUCUUGUUUCUUAAAAGGUUUUGGACAGUGAUUUUAACUCUAACACCAAAAACCUUAAACCUUACCCUAGCCCCAAAACCUAAUACCUUCAGGAAGCCCGAAAACCCCAAAUAUUUUUUUUUCUUUUUCCUUUUUUUUUGGUCUAACUAACUCCAAAAGGUCUGAAACAUGUUCCUUAAAAAAUAUUGGACAGUGAUUUUAACCCUAACGCCAAAAACCUUAAACCUUACCCUAGCCCCAAAACCUAAUACCUUCAGGAAGCCCGAAAACCCCAAAUAUUUUUUUCCUUUUUCUUUUUUUUUGGUCUAACUAACUCCAAAAGGUCUGAAACAUGUUCCUUAAAAAAUAUUGGACAGUGAUUUUAACCCUCACGCCAAAAACCUUAAACCUAAUCCUAGCCCCAAAACCUAAUACCCGGGUAUUACCUUCAGGAAGCCCGAACACCCCAAAUAUUUAUUUUUCAUUUUUUUAUUGGUCUAACUAACUCCAAAAGGUUGGAAAAGACUUCCUACAAAGGUUUUGGACAGUGAUUUUAACCCUCACGCCAAAAACCUUAAACCUUACCCUAGCCCCAUAACCUAGGGUAAAGCCCCUUUACCUAAUACCCGGGUAUUACCUUCAGGAAGCCCGAACACCCCAAAUACUUUUUUUUCAUUUAUCUUUUUUUUUGUCUAACUAACUCCAAAAGGUUGGAAAAGACUUCCUACAAAAGACUAACUCCAAAAGGUUGGAAAAGACUUCCUACAAAUGUAAUACAAAGUAUUACCUUCAGGAAGCCCGAACACCCCAAAUAUAUAUAUAUUUUUUUCUUUUUUUUUUGGUCAAACUAGCUCCAAAAAGUCUGAAACAUGUUCCUUAAAAAUAUUGGACAGUGAUUUUAACCCUAACGCCAAAAACAUUAAACCUAAUCCUAGCCCCAUAACCUAAUAAUUAAACCUGAAGGGUAUUACCUUCAGGAAGCCCGAACACCCCAAAUAUUUUUUUUUCAUUUAUCUUUUUUUUUUUUUGUCUAACUAACUCCAAAAGGUCUGAAAAGAGUUCCUACAAAGGUUUUGGACGGUGAUUUUAACCCUUAAACCUUACCCUAGCCC